AUGGGAGAGGAAUCGCAGGUCGGUGGUCCACUCUCGCCAGAGCGCGUCGUCGUCGGGCGCGACGGCCGGGCCGCCCACGUUGAGGCGGUAGGCCGUCUGCAGCGGCAGCACGGCGGGGAUGGGCUCCGGCCGGCCCGUCGACGAGUCCGCCGCGUCGGCGACGAGGCCGUCGGGCACGGAGACGAGCUCGACGGCGUUGACGAAGGCGAUGCCCCCGUCGGCGAGCGGCACGAACGAGACCACCAGCGUGUCGCGCGCGACGUCCAGGAGGAACUCCAGGCGCGCCGGCUGGGGCGACGUCGACGUCGACGCGUUGCCGGGCUCGGGCGCCGGGAUGCCGUCCUCGAGCAGCACGGCGUCCUGCGUGGACACCUUGAACGCCCUGGCCGCCGCGGCGAGGUCGUAGCUCCGGUACACGAAGGGGAAGAAGUGGAGGCGGAGGAAGUGCCGGCCGCGGCGCCUGAUGGCGAAGGAGUAGGAGGAGGGCGCGGAGAACACCCUGGCGUUCUGGUACAGCGCGGCGUCGCGGAAGCCGGACACCAGGUCCGGCGGGGCCUUCACCGCGGCGCUGCGAGGGGACGUCAGGGUGACCGCGCCGGAGGCGCCGUCGUCGGCGAGGAAGAGCCUCCGGCCCACCGGCGUGUCCAGCGAGGACCCACAGCUGACGAGGUAGUUGUCCUCAGGCUUGUACGCCGCAGCGCCGCAGACGAGCAACACCGAGACGACCCAGAGCACGCCGCGUGCUCGCGCUGGCCGGAGCCUCGCCGUCGCGGCCAUGGCAAACUCCGAGGAACACCUACACACGAUCAAAAGAUUAUGCGCAGAACAGGCAGAGAAGAAAACAUGUCCGUCGGAAGUACUCCUAUAUCGAACCACAGAAAAGCUACAAGGAGCCAAAUAAGAGCGACAGAGGGACGAACGACGCUACCUCCAGGCUCCUGCUACCGGCCAGCUGAUUCAGCAGCAGUCCAGAUCCUCCAUGGAUGA
Molecule: ribosomal RNA, 987 nt
Filed under: Triticum aestivum (bread wheat)
Lineage: Eukaryota; Viridiplantae; Streptophyta; Magnoliopsida; Poales; Poaceae
Description: partial small subunit ribosomal RNA
Source: RNAcentral